UACGGAGGGUGCAAGCGUUAAUCGGAAUUACUGGGCGUAAAGCGUGCGUAGGUGGUUUGUUAAGUCCGUUGUGAAAGCCCCGAGCUCAACUUGGGAAUUGCAGUGGAUACUGGCAAGCUGGAGUGCGGUAGAGGAAGGUGGAAUUCCCGGUGUAGCGGUGAAAUGCGUAGAGAUCGGGAGGAACACCAGUGGCGAAGGCGGCCUUCUGGUCUGUAACUGACGCUGAGGCGCGAAAGCGUGGGGAGCAAACAGG
Molecule: ribosomal RNA, 253 nt
Filed under: uncultured bacterium
Lineage: Bacteria
Description: partial 16S ribosomal RNA
Rfam family: Bacterial small subunit ribosomal RNA
Source: RNAcentral